GACGAACGCUGGCGGCGUGCUUAACACAUGCAAGUCGAACGGUAAGGCCCUUCGGGGUACACGAGUGGCGAACGGGUGAGUAACACGUGGGUGAUCUGCCCUGCACUUCGGGAUAAGCCUGGGAAACUGGGUCUAAUACCGGAUAGGACCACUGCCUGCAUGGGUGGUGGUGGAAAGCUUUUGCGGUGUGGGAUGGGCCCGCGGCCUAUCGGCUUGUUGGUGGGGUGAUGGCCUACCAAGGCGACGACGGGGAGCCGGCCUGAGAGGGGGACCGGCCACACGGGGACUGGGAUACGGCGCAGACUCCUACGGGAGGCAGAAGUGGGGAAUAUGGCACAAUGGGCGCAAGCCUGAUGCAGCGACGCCGCGUGAGGGAUGACGGCCUUCGGGUUGUAAACCUCUUUCAGCACCGACGAAGCGCAAGUGACGGUAGGUGCAGAAGAAGGACCGGCCAACUACGUGCCAGCAGCCGCCGUAA
RNAcentral lists this ribosomal RNA (478 nucleotides) under uncultured bacterium. RNAcentral's name for it is "partial 16S ribosomal RNA". It matches the Rfam family "Bacterial small subunit ribosomal RNA", at positions 28 to 523 of the family's 1533-position model. The record is from RNAcentral.